UUGAAAUCUUAUGGAUGUUGUAGGUGUGUUUUAGUUUUCUUCAUUGGAGUCUUACAGCAAGCAUCUGGUAGACAGAGAAGGAGAAAGAAGUAUGGUACACACCUUUCAAACGCCAGACGACAUUGGUCUUUUCCCUCUCUUCUCCUCCCUGCUUGACAAACCGCUGGUUCAGAAUUUGGGUACAUUUACAAAUCACCGUGGAGUUGGUCUAAACUUGGCGAGGUUGCCCUAAAGCCAGAGCAGGAGGUGUGCCAGCCAGGCGGGGCAGUGCAGUACCCAGAAUAGUAAGCUGAGCUGAGGGAGCAGGUCUGUGGAAUCUGGUAGUGUAACAGCCACAGGGCUGUACUGCUUUCAAGACACUUAGGUCCACAGAGUACUAAAUUUAGUCACACAGAUUUAUUGCUGCAAACUUGGUCAAAAGUAGGUCUUUGUACGAUGCUUCACAGAACAAGGCAAACAUUCCCAUCCCUUUUUUUUUUUCCAUGGUUUUAUUACUGUUAUUCUAUUUUGCCUUCUCUCUAAAUCAGAUGCAGAUUGAAAUGAAAAGAUCAUUCAUCCAUUAAAUAGAUCAGUGGAACAGUAGCAUUCACCAUGGGUUUUUACCUGGUUUACUGGUUGGUUGAUAAUGUAAUUACUCUCUGCAUAGUGGCCAAAAACGAGCAGGCAUGUGGAUCAAGUUUCCAAAGAGUUUUCCAUAGAUUCAGUAAAUGAGGCAGUAACACAUGGGUAAUCUCCUAAUUCUCAUUGCUUUUGAAAGGCUAGUUCUUCUGUUGAUACCAUCUUCUAAGUUUUGAGCAAGCAUAACUGUACUAAGAGAAAAUUAUUUCUUUCUCUGGCCUACUUUGCUUUUCACACACAGUACAAAGGGAGAUUCUGGCUACUCAUAAAUAUCUUGCUGAGUGCAGUGAGGUAUACUGCCUGUCAAAGCAGUGUCACUCCAUGGUGAGUUACAAAAAAGUGAUAAAUUGGCUUUUGUUCUUGCAAUAUGCCUUUUACCUUUCCCCAAACAGGAACUCCCACCUCAUUUUGCAUAUGUUUUUACUGUGGAUGGAGCCAAGCCCAGAUACUCACUGCAGAAGUGAUCAUGAGUUCUUUAUUUCAGGUUGCUUUAAACUUGAGAAAGGUUGAGAAAAUAGUUCCAAAAGACCAUGCAACUCCACUCAGUAAAGGAGCAAAGACAACUCAAAAUAAAGGAAAGGAAAAUACAUUUAGUCUGAUUAUUUGUUUUGGUAGUUGAAAGUUAAUUGUAAUUAUGCCUAAUGCCUUAUGAAAAUAUUGCCCUACAGCCGGUUGAAGUAGGCCACUCUUGAAAUAAUGAAGACAUAGUAACAUGAGAUAAUGCUGCUAUGCAUACUCCUAAAUCUGUCCUGAGCAGUGAGGAAGAUCCAUCUUUCCUUGUGCAAACAGUGGCUUGCUCUGGUUAAGUGCUAAAUAUAGUAACACAGCUUCAGCUCUGCUGUCUCCAUCUAGGUCUUUGAGGACAGUUGCCUUUACUGCAUGCAAUGUGGCAACCCAGGUGCUGACCUGCUUUGCACAAUGGUGAAGAAAAGAUGGGAGCCAGUGCCCUUUUUUGCACAGUACGGUUGCAUAAGCCAACUUCCUGCAACUCUCUGCCAGCUUCACAUCUGGAUGCUCUGGACACCGGAGGAGCAGCCAGCACUGAGGAGCCUCAAGGUUCAUAAACUGCAACUGGUGAAACUGGAAUUCAGAAGGACAACUGAGAUGAGAGGACAUUAAGAGACUUUCACUGAAGCAUGUGUCACAGCAGAGAAGUGAGCACAAGGCCUCCUCUUCCACAUCACUGUUAAGUCAUCAUCUAUCUAUUCACCCUGACUACACAUGAGGGACACUGCCAACCCAGCAAAAUGCACUGGCAAUUUUCUGCUCCUCAAAAAAAGCCACAAAAGCAAUGUUGAGACCAGUGGUUGGCACCAGGAGAAAAUCAAACAGCCUCAGUCUGCCAGACGAGAUAACAACACACGGGGAAGGUGUGGAAAGCAUUGUUAAAAUGGCUGGGAAUGUUCAAAGUGAAGAAACUGGAUAAUUAUCAACAUAAGACCUGAUUGUCCUGUUGUACUGGUUUUAUGAUAGCAUAACUGCUGACUGUGAAAGAGUUGCUUCUGAUUCAGACUGAAGUAAGCACUUCGUGAACAUCGUGAUGAGAACCAUCAGAAGGUCUGAGCUUGCUCUUGAUCCUGGUACACCUCUGUGUAUCUGAGUCAUGAACUGUCAUGAGAGUCAAGACUUGAGAAUCCUUGAAUCUUUGUCACCCACUCUUCUGACUAGACAAACCAAACCUGUGCUCCAGUUGCUUCCUGCAGGGGCACUACUUAAGCUUUUUCUGAGAAUACUUGUGACUGAAGUACACUUUCUUUAUUCCUUUGCAAUGCAGAACAUAGCCAUGGCCAGUGAGUUACUUCAUCUGGCUCCUUGCUCUUAGUGCCGCUCUUGUACCAACACCAGUGCUGAGCAAGCACAUUCAAGUGACGCAGCAGAUCAUACUUUCAGGUGAGGUGCUUCAUAAUUCCAUCUGUUAUCAUAUCAAUGUCCAUGUCACCCCAGAAGAGGCAGCAGCAGGCACAAGUGUGUGUCAGAUGAAAGUAGUAUACUUAGUAAAAUGCAGACUUUUAUUUGUUUUUAUCUUUCAUCAGCUUUUGAGAGAAGUUCUGUGGCUACAGUUAUACCAGCACCCUAGAAAGACAUAAAUAUUCUGCCCUGUUUAGAAGUCUUACAGUAAGGGCCUUCUGCUUGCCUCCAGGACAGCUGCUUGUGUUGAGCAGCAGUAAUAGCUACGCCUACAGAUAGCCCUGCCAUUUUAGUGGUGAAAGCGCUGAUGGAUGUCAUGACAGUCUUUCAACUUCUCCCUCUUGGUUCUGUCUGAUGGACCAUAAAUUAAAAGAACUAGUCAUCCAUAAAGUGCCAUUGUCAAAUUCUACACCUACUGCAACAAUCUGAACUGGUUCUUGUAUUUUAAGGAGAAAUUUCCUCCAAUAAUUUAAUAUGAACUAUUCUAGUCCUUUGUGCCUCGCUAGCAACACAUUAAAUAACACCUAUAACAAAUGCAGCUUCAACUGAAAAUCAGCACACAUUGAAUGUGUCAUAAAGACAACUAAGAUUUUCAUUUCCGCUUUAAAAAGCCAGAAAUCCUAUGGUUUGUGUAUUUUUGAGUUGCAGGCACAUCCCGAGGCAAAUAACUCAACCAAAGGAUUUCCAAGAGCCAGCUCUUAUCUAGAGGGCAUGAAAUGGAAGUGUUAAUAGCACCAAUAUAUAGGUGUCAGUGUCACUGCAAUAAUUGCACUACAAGUCAGAGGCUGACACCUUCAUAAAAGAAAGUGUCAAAACAGUAGAAAUCAAGGCUAUGAGAUUUUCUUCACUUACGAAAACAGGCCUUGAACAUUGAAAUGUUCAACUGAAAUUUGCUUCUAUAUUUAAGAUGAAAAUUAAAACUGACCUAUUUUCACUAAGAAAAAUGCAUGGAAUUGUCAUGUCAGCAUCAUCAGGACAGACAUUAAGAGAGUAAGUGCAGUAGGCUUAUCUAUCCCAGGUGACAAGCACUCAUGGUCUGCGAGCCACCUAGUCCCACGGAGUUAAGGCUCUGUCUUACUAUGGAACAAAGACAUUUGCAAUGUUUCAGAAUUGACCACAAUGCUUUGGACUUCAAGAAUGAUAGUCUGAAGAUCUGAUAAUAAGUGAGUGCAACUAAAAGAAGAACCCAAAUCAGAAUUUCUUUGAAAUGUUUUGAUUUUUAUAAAGCAGCAAAAGUCAACAGGUUUAGGACUGAUAUCUGCCUUCAGUAAAUCUUUCACUUACUUCACUUCACUAAAAUUUGUAGUUUAUUUUGUGUCACAACAAAGAAAUUAAUCACUCUCAAAUAGUAUAAGUAAGUGGAAAUUAGGAUCUUAGCCCAAUCUGAAGUCAAAUCACUCUUGUUAGCAAUAUGACUAAGUAUGUGUGAUUUUCUGAUCUUCUCAAAGCAAAAUGAAUAUGAAGGACAGAGACAGAUUAUUUGUCUGAUCAUUUCACCUGAUCUUUGAUGCAAGCAUUGAUUUCUGUAUGGCAGUCCUUGGCAUUCAGUUCUUUGGUCUCUGCAAAUCAGAAUUCAUAAACAAUGGUAAUUUCCUCCAAUGUAGGGAAAUAAAUCAUGGGACAGAUGGGAUGAUCAGUCGUGAUCAAGAGAUAAAAGUAGAAAAAACCUGGAUAAGUUUUCACUCUCAGCAAACACAGCCGCUGAGAGAAGGGAGCAUGUUCUAGUUCCCUGCUUAACUCCACUUCCUUGGGUGGCAAGCUGCAAUGGCAUCACAACAGCCAAAGGCACGGAGUACAAAUACAGGGAGCACUCUCUAAGGCCAAGUCUUGUGUCUAUGAUCUGGUAACUGUACUGUUCCCACAAAGUUGCCAAUAGAAGCAAGCAGCUUUUUUAGCGGUUGACAAUAUAGGCAGAAGGAGGAAGAAGAGGAGGUAAGCAGCUUGUGAGAGAAAGUAUAAAGAAGGAGGGGAAAAAGAGGGAAAUAAGCAGGAAGGUGGAAGAGAAGGGUUGAAGGUUUGCUGCUCAGCAUGCUGGAGCAUAAUGAAAUCAACAAGUCCUGGGCAUCGCUUCCAACACCCACAUGGGCAUGCUCCAGGCCUGUCUUCUUUACUUCCCCCUGGCUGGCUGCUGAGUUAAUAAGAGAUCUUUUCUUCAUUGCCUUUUAUUUCACUCUUGGUUCCUGGAGUUGCAACAGCUGAAGACGGGUAACAGUUACAAACACAAGUCCAUCUCUAGUGUAAAAGAACUGACUUGAGAUAUGCUAGCAUUAAGCUUUUCUUGCUUUCAGAGCAAUUUUGAAAAGGUCUUCACAGGCAGACAUCCAUCUGCAGAACAUGUUUGUGUCACAACAAAGAAAUUCGUUAAGUGAGUUAAGUCACUGAUGCAUGUGUUUAGUGUGCUAGUCUAUGUACACCAUCUCCCAGAAACACCAGCAAAAGUAUAAACUAAGUUUAUGAGGGGGCUUGCUUCCCUGGUCGGUUAGCUGAUGACUUUUUCAUGUAUGUCCCUGCUCAGAAAAAUGCAGACACUCCUCACCCCAUUACUGUGCACUGUACUUGAUGAGUGCUGAUGAAAAGAUGACUCUUUUAUUUAAGACUCUAGAGGAUGUUGAGCUGUUUCAAAAAUUGAGGGAAUUCUGUUGAAGGCUAAUUCAGUCAGAUUGGAACCCAUGAGAUGUCAAUUUUCAUUCAAGUCUCACCCAUGCAAUUCAAGAAACCAUUGCCAAGAACAUUGAUUAGCGCAGAAAUGGGGGAGCAGCAGAAGUGUAGUACAUUUUGCAUGUACGAAAGGCAAUUCUGGCCUCUGCAAUGUGGAGCAGAUUGAUGCUUUGUGUGAAGGUGACACCAUCGAAAGCGGCAAAUGGAGAACUGCAGGUGUAACUCCUCACUCCCCAAACCCUGCUCUGUUACAGCACUAGUGAAGUACAAUUUACUUCUGGAUGUAUUUCUGAAAUGAGAAGUUGCUCUUACAUUUGAAUAUGUGUUAGAAAAGAAAGCUGUAAAUGGAAAAAACUCCCUAAUGUGCCUCUAUGCUGCAAAUGGCCAUCACAUUAGCUUCCAAGGAUGUAAUUAAGUUUCGGCUCAGUCUGUCUUAUAGCCAAAAAUUCAAUGCUGAGGUUUAUUUUAAUUUAACCUUUUUCCCCAGCUCUGAAUAUUGCAUUGUUUAGUUCUGCAGAUGAAAAAAAUGCUGUAAGUACCUAGGUACAGUUUAAAAAAAAAAAUUUCCACAGAUUUUCACAGAAGUGCAAGUGGAUAUUCUGUUAGUUGGUGUAUUUACAUUUGGGAUUUUGUCUGGCUUUCACAUAUCUCAGCACCUCAUAAGGAUUACUCAAUUUAUCUUUACAAAACCAAGUGAUGCAGCCUGGUUGCCUUGGGCCUCUGUGUUCAGCCUAUCCUUUAUAGUAACUUCUGCCUUUCUUGUCAUUUGUUGCCUUCUGCACCUUAGCCAAUGCACAAUUUUAGCAGGAUUUAUUCACUACAAACAAAUUAAGCCUCUGUCAACAUUCCUGUAAGACAGGGGAGAGCUCUCACUCCUAACAGUCAGAGACACUGAACAAUUUCUCCAAGAUCAGAAAGAACAUCCAUGGUCAAGGGAAGAGUUAUCUUAUCUCUCCUGGAUCUCAGUCCAGUGUUUUAACCACAGAACUUUGUUACCCCAGUAAAUAAUCAGUAAGCCAACAAAGCAUGAAGGGAAGAUAUUGUAAGUCACCUUCCCCAGCGUUGACUGUACCGGUACCUCUUAGGCAAAGGAGAACAUUACGGAUGACCAUGUGGGCUACACAUUCUUUUAAAUGGUGUCACACCUUCAGAACAGUUAACUGAAUGUAUAUUUACUGCCACAUGCCUAUAUGAAGUUCUGCCCUAAAUAAACUAGUAGCAUCAAUCCAAUACAAAGUAGAUAAGUGAUCAAGAUGCAGAAGUUACCAUCGGAGCUGGUGCAUGUUGGCACUGGUCACUAAAGAGGCUGGGAUGUGUGUAUUACGCAAAGUGGUAAUCACAAACAACAUGCCAGGGCAGAGUGCAGAAGGCUGCACCUAUGUGGCCAGCGUCACAGCUUUCAAUGCAUAAGUAGAAGAUUACAGUUUCAUGGACCAGGAAGUAGUAGCAUAAAUUUCAGUCCAGUAGAAAAAGGAGAAGAAUUAAAGAAACAAACCAAACAGGGCAAAUCAAAACUAGGGAGUGACAAAGGUAGUGAGUUUCCCAGAACUGCAUACAAUGAUAGUUAGGCACUAGCAAUGUAAAAAAAGCAUUCAUUUCUUGAAAAUAAUUUGAAAGCAAACAAAUGUUCUUUGACCCAUAGAGUGCUGCUGCCAAGAUCCGUAUACAAAAUAUUCAAUUGAUUUGCACAACGGUGAACAGUUGGCAUUUUGUUUUCCUCUAAUUAGACUGUUCCAAACCUGAAUACAAAUCUUGAGUCCUCCAGCUUCAAUAUGUUUUCCCUCUGCAUGCUUUAGUUUCUCAUGCCCGUGUUAUUUAAUGGUCUCUGCCCUUGCUUCCUUCUAAACUUUGGUCUUUUUCAAAUCAUGUAGAAGAUGCAUCAUCUCCAGUAGAAAAAUCUUUAGCCAUCUCAUUCAUUCCAAACAAUUACUAUCCGAACAGAUAGUAGUAGUUAAAUCAGUAUGAGAUCCACUGACCUCAAAAAAAAUAUAGAACUCUUAUACCAGCUGAAAUGCAAUCCUAUGUUUUGAGACAGUAUCAAAUAAUAUUUCCUAAUCAACAUGGCAUUUAGCAUUUCCAGCCUUGGUUCAAGUAUUUGACCUAUUCUUUUGUGGCUUGAAGGGUUGCAGAAGUUCAACAUUUAUUGUGAUUUUGAUGUAGCAAUACCCAAAGGCCUCUACUAGAAUCAGGAUCCUGUUCUUUUUGGUGCUUUUAAAUGUGCAAGAAAAGGAAAUGGGUCAGUAAAAACCUUACAAUCAAAUGAGUAGGCAAAGCUACCAGGCUUGUUCUAAUGAGGGAACUGGGAAGUGUACCAACAGUGCAUUUUCCAUUCCAUUUCGUAAAAUGGAAAGGAGUAGCAAAAUCUGCAGCUCUUUUAAGUAAUUAUGUAUGUGUACCCCAAAAACAGAGCUUUUUACUACAACUCAGCAGACUGAGUAGAAAACAUCUAUGUAAAAAAUACAAAUUAAAAUCCUUGCUCUCUCUGGAAUUGUCCAUUCAGAUUCUUAUAAAGAAUGCUGUAGCAAAAUAAUUGUAGCUGCAAACAGAAAAUCUUGUCAGUGUAAAAUACAAGGAAAAGGUCUGUAUUUAGAUGAGAGAGAGACACAGUUAUGAAGGAACUUCGUCUGAGAUCUGUCAGGUGCCCCUGGCAUUGCCAAGGUACCCACUGAUCUGCAGGCCAGUACAACAGCAACAAGAUCACCCUCUCAGUCUUUUUAGAGAUGUAGGCUAGAAGGAGCAGACAGCAUCAAGAAAAUUUUACACAGACAGGCAACUCUUUUUCAGGUGUUUUUACCUGGAUGCUAGUAGCAUCAAAUACAUCUGUAGCCCAUCCCCAUCAUACAAUAAAACAAGCAGCUGAUUUUCCUUUUUGUAAUUUUGCAUGUCAGUGUAGCUUGAUUUAUAUACAGGAAAACAAGAAGACCAUUAAGGAUGAAAAUAAUUGAACAUAAGGGCAAUGAGGAAGACUGAUGUAAACUCAUCUCAUAAAAUGAUUUUUCUCUUCUUACAAUCCUUACUACUUGUUUGAGAUUUAUGAGCUCGAAGAAAUCAUAAAACUAUGGGUGUAAAGAGACAGGCUAUUGGAAAGAAGAGGAAGAAGACUUAGAUCUUUAUUUUAGCCUUUGCACCCAAAGGGCACAGAAACAAUGAUCCUCUGUGUUAUUUUUCAUUUUCAAAGGGAUUUGCAUUAUUGCCUAAUUCAUCCUCAUUACCACCCUCAGAGAAAAUAAUAAUGUUGUAAUGUGGUUACAACAAAGGCUUUGGACAAUUUGUUCCAACAGUUUCACUAUAACAGUAAAUAAAACUACAAUCUACUUAUUGCCUGUAAUAAUCUAAAUCACUCUACCUACAAUACCAUAUUUUAUACAAAUGAGGGUUUGAUAGGUUUGGGUUCUGAGCAUUUUGUCCUACGGCCUACUAAAAUGUGAACAAGUCAUGUCUAAAUCAAUGAGAUAUCAGUUCAUCAGGUAAUUUAAGUAUAUGCUUGGCUUCAAGUCAUGUACUUGAUUUAAACUGUAGCCUCUUGAAAGCAUUUUUCCACGUCAUCUGAAGGACAGAGAAAAUUCAGCAGAAAGAUUAGGAAAAUUGUAUGGAAGUAUUUCAUAGCAGAUGAACAUUGCUACCUGACUCAGUUGCAGGGAUAGAGAGAGGCCCUGGGACAAAAGGUGCAGGGGUAACAUGCACCUCUCUUAGCUGUAAAUGAUUACAGCGUAGACAUGCACUUCAAAACUACUCUUUAGGGUCUCUCUGUAGUGAACAGAGAAAGAAACUUCUCUAAGUGCAGCUGUGAUCAAUCUCAUCCUAAGGUAGAUAGCAGGACAGAAAAAAAAUCAAUCAUGACCUUUAGUCACCUCUUUCUCUCCACCUUUUAUGAAGGAAGUUAUCCCAAAGGCAGGCACUUAACACUGCAGUCCUCUAACAUUAGGUGAGAUUAGAUCCCUUUCAUUGUCCCCAGGAGGAAGCUCUUCUGCAAAGACAUGGAAUCAUAUUUGUAUUUUUUCUUGAAAUAGUCUCAGAUUCUACUUUUGCCUCUAGUCAUCCAUCCUACUUAGGACCCAUCCUCUCAAUUCUCUGCCUUCAAAGAUCCUCAAAUGUGAGCCUGACAUUGGCGAUGUGUACUUGCCCAUUCUUUCUUUUGUGACAGUGGUGCUACUGUAACAACUGCAGCAGCUGAAUACCAGAUGUGUCCUCAGUGUUCAGCCAGGAAUUCUGCGGCUGCAAGAAAAUGUAGUAAAAUAUUCAGAAGCAAAACGAUCACCAAAGCCAAUGAGGUGCAGCACGACUUGUAUGGAUCUAUAGUCUUCAGUAUCAAAAAAUACAAUUCUGUCAAUAAAUAAAUGAA
Long non-coding RNA from Cuculus canorus (common cuckoo), 9526 nucleotides. RefSeq lists it as uncharacterized. The record is from RefSeq and is a predicted model, not a curated record. Lineage: Eukaryota; Metazoa; Chordata; Aves; Cuculiformes; Cuculidae. The transcript has 4 exons.